This 435-nucleotide ribosomal RNA is filed under the name uncultured Saccharofermentans sp. Its description in RNAcentral is "partial 16S ribosomal RNA". It matches the Rfam family "Bacterial small subunit ribosomal RNA", at positions 341 to 792 of the family's 1533-position model. Lineage: Bacteria; Bacillati; Bacillota; Clostridia; Eubacteriales; Oscillospiraceae. The record is from RNAcentral.
ACGGAAGGCAGCAGUGGGGAAUAUUGGGCAAUGGGCGAAAGCCUGACCUAGCGACGCCGCGUGAGGGAAGAAGGUCUUCGGAUUGUAAACCUCUUUCAGCAGGGAAGAACAAUGACGGUACCUGCAGAAGAAGUCACGGCUAACUACGUGCCAGCAGCCGCGGUAAUACGUAGGUGGCGAGCGUUAUCCGGAAUUACUGGGUGUAAAGGGUGUGUAGGCGGAGAAGCAAGUCAGGCGUGAAAUUCAGAGGCUCAACCUCUGGACUGCGCUUGAAACUGUUUCCCUUGAGAGUGGGAGAGGUAAACGGAAUUCCUGGUGUAGUAGUGAAAUGCGUAGAUAUCAGGAGGAACACCGGUGGCGAAGGCGGUUUACUGGACCACAACUGACGCUGAGACACGAAAGCGUGGGGAGCAAACAGGAUUAGAUACCCUGGUA